GAUGAACGCUAGCUACAGGCUUAACACAUGCAAGUCGAGGGGCAGCAUGGUCUUAGCUUGCUAAGGCCGAUGGCGACCGGCGCACGGGUGAGUAACACGUAUCCAACCUGCCGUCUACUCUUGGACAGCCUUCUGAAAGGAAGAUUAAUACAAGAUGGCAUCAUGAGUCCACAUGUUCACAUGAUUAAAGGUAUUCCGGUAGACGAUGGGGAUGCGUUCCAUUAGAUAGUAGGCGGGGUAACGGCCCACCUAGUCUUCGAUGGAUAGGGGUUCUGAGAGGAAGGUCCCCCACAUUGGAACUGAGACACGGUCCAAACUCCUACGGGAGGCAGCAGUGAGGAAUAUUGGUCAAUGGGCGAGAGCCUGAACCAGCCAAGUAGCGUGAAGGAUGACUGCCCUAUGGGUUGUAAACUUCUUUUAUAAAGGAAUAAAGUCGGGUAUGGAUACCCGUUUGCAUGUACUUUAUGAAUAAGGAUCGGCUAACUCCGUGCCAGCAGCCGCGGUAAUACGGAGGAUCCGAGCGUUAUCCGGAUUUAUUGGGUUUAAAGGGAGCGUAGAUGGAUGUUUAAGUCAGUUGUGAAAGUUUGCGGCUCAACCGUAAAAUUGCAGUUGAUACUGGAUAUCUUGAGUGCAGUUGAGGCAGGCGGAAUUCGUGGUGUAGUGGUGAAAUGCUUAGAUAUCACGAAGAACUCCGAUUGCGAAGGCAGCCUGCUAAGCUGCAACUGACAUUGAGGCUCGAAAGUGUGGGUAUCAAACAGGAUUAGAUACCCUGGUAGUCCACACGGUAAACGAUGAAUACUCGCUGUUUGCGAUAUACAGCAAGCGGCCAAGCGAAAGCGUUAAGUAUUCCACCUGGGGAGUACGCCGGCAACGGUGAAACUCAAAGGAAUUGACGGGGGCCCGCACAAGCGGAGGAACAUGUGGUUUAAUUCGAUGAUACGCGAGGAACCUUACCCGGGCUUAAAUUGCAGAUGAAUUACGGUGAAAGCCGUAAGCCGCAAGGCAUCUGUGAAGGUGCUGCAUGGUUGUCGUCAGCUCGUGCCGUGAGGUGUCGGCUUAAGUGCCAUAACGAGCGCAACCCUUGUUGUCAGUUACUAACAGGUUCCGCUGAGGACUCUGACAAGACUGCCAUCGUAAGAUGUGAGGAAGGUGGGGAUGACGUCAAAUCAGCACGGCCCUUACGUCCGGGGCUACACACGUGUUACAAUGGGGGGUACAGAGGGCCGCUACCACGCGAGUGGAUGCCAAUCCCAAAAACCUCUCUCAGUUCGGACUGGAGUCUGCAACCCGACUCCACGAAGCUGGAUUCGCUAGUAAUCGCGCAUCAGCCACGGCGCGGUGAAUACGUUCCCGGGCCU
RNAcentral lists this ribosomal RNA (1358 nucleotides) under uncultured bacterium. Its description in RNAcentral is "bacterial SSU rRNA". It matches the Rfam family "Bacterial small subunit ribosomal RNA", at positions 28 to 1381 of the family's 1533-position model. The record is from RNAcentral.